CUGCCCUCACACAAACACUGCGAAGAGGGAAGUCUUCUUGUGUGGAGAAGGUCCUCAGCGCAAACAUACAUGUCAAGGCAUGGCUUGUCAGACACAAACCCCAAAGUGAGAUACAUACAGCGACAUGGCAUCCUGCAAUCAUAUGAUUAAGACGCAUGGCUACAUCAGCACCACCAUCUUGUGUGACAAUCCCUUUCAACACAACAGGAUGGGGGAGUCCGACUCCCGGCACGCCCACUUUGCUGUGAUUGGUCACACUACUUCCUGACUACUCGGAACACACUUUCAACAACAACAACAACAACAACACUUUCUGGGUAUAGCUACUGGCUGAAGACCCCUGAUUUACCCCGGGCUCACACUGAAUCUGUCGUGGCUACGGUCCUGAACCAA
This is a non-coding RNA of Doryrhamphus excisus (bluestripe pipefish), 393 nucleotides long. The record is from RefSeq and is a predicted model, not a curated record. NCBI's taxonomy places the organism in Eukaryota, Metazoa, Chordata, Actinopteri, Syngnathiformes, Syngnathidae.